RNAcentral lists this ribosomal RNA (292 nucleotides) under uncultured bacterium. RNAcentral describes it as "partial 16S ribosomal RNA". It matches the Rfam family "Bacterial small subunit ribosomal RNA", at positions 333 to 624 of the family's 1533-position model. The record is from RNAcentral.
CUUGCCCUACGGGACGCAGCAGUGAGGAAUAUUGGUCAAUGGGCGAGAGCCUGAACCAGCCAAGUCGCGUGAGGGAGUACUGCCCUAUGGGUUGUAAACCUCUUUUGUCGGGGAGCAAAAGCCGGACGUGUCCGGCUGUGAGAGUACCCGAAGAAAAAGCAUCGGCUAACUCCGUGCCAGCAGCCGCGGUAAUACGGAGGAUGCGAGCGUUAUCCGGAUUUAUUGGGUUUAAAGGGUGCGUAGGCGGGCAUUUAAGCCGGCGGUCAAAUUUCGGGGCUCAACCCCGGCCUUC